RNAcentral lists this long non-coding RNA (240 nucleotides) under Lathyrus oleraceus (garden pea). RNAcentral's name for it is "Pisum sativum (pea) long non-coding RNA (PSAT_LNC012257)". The record is from RNAcentral. Lineage: Eukaryota; Viridiplantae; Streptophyta; Magnoliopsida; Fabales; Fabaceae.
UUAUGCAAUGGGAAGGUGUUAGGCACCCAAAGCAUCUUAGGUACUCCUAGGGAUCCCUUUUCAUGCUUGUUGCAAAAGGUUAUUGUUUAUGAAAAUUUAUUUGUGCAAACAUGAUUGAAGAGAUGAGAAAAGAAUAUACAAGUUUAUUUACAUUUUGUGUUCGGAUGGAUGAAUCCAUUGCCUACGUACCUUCUUAUAAAAAGAAUAGGAUCAAAACCUCGUUGUUCGGCUAAAAGAUUU